AAAAACAUCGCCUCUUGCUUCAGUGAAUAAGAGGUCACGCCUGCCCUGUGACUAUAUGUUUAACGGCCGCGGUAUUUUGACCGUGCAAAGGUAGCGCAAUCACUUGUCCUUUAAAUGUGGACCUGUAUGAAUGGCAUAACGAGGGCUUAGCUGUCUCCUUUCUCAAGUCAAUGAACUUGAUCUCCCCGUGCAGAAGCGGGGAUAAAACCAUAAGACGAGAAGACCCUAUGGAGCUUUAGACAAAAAACAGCCCCUGUCAAUAAACCCUAAAUAAAGGGAAUAAACCUAGUGAACCUGUUUUAAUGUCUUUGGUUGGGGCGACCGCGGGGUAACAAAAAACCCCCAUGUGGAAUGAAAACACCCUUUUUAAACCCAAGAGUCACCACUCUAGGAUACAGAACAUCUGACCAAUAAUGAUCCGGCUAAAGCCGAUUAACGAACCGAGUUACCCUAGGGAUAACAGCGCAAUCCUCUUUUAGAGUCCAUAUCGACAAGAGGGUUUACGACCUCGAUGUUGGAUCAGGACAUCCUAAUGGUGCAGCCGCUAUAAA
This 551-nucleotide ribosomal RNA is filed under the name Takifugu rubripes (torafugu). RNAcentral describes it as "partial large subunit ribosomal RNA". It matches the Rfam family "Bacterial large subunit ribosomal RNA", at positions 1809 to 2568 of the family's 2925-position model. RNAcentral also lists the same sequence under 2 other names. Lineage: Eukaryota; Metazoa; Chordata; Actinopteri; Tetraodontiformes; Tetraodontidae. The record is from RNAcentral.